AUGAAGAACGUAGCGAAAUGCGAUAAGUAAUGUGAAUUGCAGAAUUCAGUGAAUCAUCGAAUCUUUGAACGCACAUUGCGCCCCCUGGUAUUCCGGGGGGCAUGCCUGUUCGAGCGUCAUUUCACCACUCAAGCCUCGCUUGGUAUUGGGCAACGCGGUCCGCCGCGUGCCUCAAAUCGACCGGCUGGGUCUUCUGUCCCCUAAGCGUUGUGGAAACUAUUCGCUAAAGGGUGUUCGGGAGGCUACGCCGUAAAACAACCCCAUUUCUAAGGUUGACCUCGGAUCAGGUAGGGAUACCCGCUGAACUUAAGCAUAUCAUAAGCGGAGA
Molecule: unclassified non-coding RNA, 328 nt
Filed under: soil metagenome
Description: partial contains 5.8S ribosomal RNA, internal transcribed spacer 2, and large subunit ribosomal RNA
Rfam family: 5.8S ribosomal RNA (bases 1-119)
Source: RNAcentral